AAUAUUAACAUAAAUAAGUUUUCCAAUAACACAUUUGGUUAGUGGUACGCCAGCGAAUUGUCUGCGCUUGCUGUAACUAACCGUAACUGCAAAUCCAAACCAUAGGUUAUCUAAGAUGGAUGUCUUUGGCGCCGUGUAGUCUGGUAGAAGUUUACCAAUGUUUCAGAGGUUUUUCGAUAACUUUCAUUCGAGUGGAAACUGUGAUGUGGGCAGUGGCACAGAGAAGGAAAUCUGUAUACUAUUCAGAUUUUCAUCAGUACAAUAUGAUGCUGUGACGAGGUGCACACCAGCAUUUAUACAAGCCCCAGCCACCAGGUAAUGCAACGUACUGGGAAGCAGUGACACAACAAGGUUUCCUGUCGCAACCAAUUCCUGCAACAAGUCUGGUCGUUCCACCACAUCUAGAAGCACUGGUUCAACUCCUGGGUAGCGGCCAGCAACAGCAUCUGCCUCAUCUUUCAGUGCCGAUGCUGCAAAAUAUCAGAGCUAAAGAGAUUAAUAAAAAAUUUACUUUUAAUCUCAUGCUUCGAAUGUAAAUGUUACAAAAUAACCAAGUCUUAAAUUAGUGUCAAUGUUAUUGGUAAUGAUAAGAAAAUUAUGAUGUGAAUGGUGGAGUGGACUGGAGAGUUAGAGUUUAUUUACAUUCCAUAGAUCCUUCUUUGUGCUACACAAAAGGAUGUAAAACAAGUCAUAAUACAAGUACAGAACUUAGUUCACAUAUAGAUGUACAUAAAGCAUAAGAAUUGUCAACAAAGGUAAAAUCAUCUACAAAGUAGUAGAAGUGAGUUAAGAAGUAAACUUUUAUAUCAUGAGUUAAAAUUUUAAUUGUAGGUGGAAAAUUACUGACUACUUUGAUACAUGUAUAACAUACUCCUUUUUGAUAUUUAGUGAGGUUAGUAUUUGGCAUAUGAAAGUCAUAUUUACAGACAGAACAGAAGAAUCACAAAUAAACUGUCAACAGCAAUCCCUCACAGUCAAAUACGAUUAUGACAUACUAAGUAAUGAAUAUAAAGCUGUCUCAGGUGCACUGUAUUUGCACAUUGUCAAGUAAUCAAAUUAAACAUAAACUUUAACUCAUUUCUUUAUUAUUUGAAAUGUGACUGCAUCAGAUUCUUUUGACAGCAAAAGAGUUAUGUGGGAAAAAGGGUCUGAUAACACUGAGUAACACAAUCCAUUAUAUUUCUAAAUGUAUAAUAACUUCAUAAAUUGUUUUACAUAAUAAGACAUGCAAAAGAGUGAAAUUAAUUGUUUCUAAAACCUCUCAUUUUGACUAUAAACAAUGCUUUCAUUCCACCUCAAAACUAAAUAUGUUUUUGUACAAGUAUAAAAUAGAAUUAAAGAAAUUUAUUUUUGCCAUAA
Molecule: long non-coding RNA, 1359 nt
Organism: Zootermopsis nevadensis
Lineage: Eukaryota; Metazoa; Arthropoda; Insecta; Blattodea; Termopsidae
Source: RefSeq, a predicted model, not a curated record